UCCAUUUUCGCCUCAAAUUACUGCCCCAAGACGCGAGAUACGGAACUCUUGAUGUUGUUCAGAAACUUUUCCCUGUCUGGCUUGAAUAGUAGGUUUUGAUAUAUGAACAACCAUGCAACCAAUAUGCCAAUUAAUUCAAAGAGUAGAGGGAGAACAGGAAGCUUGUCGAUGACCUCUACAAGAUUUAUAGAAGCCCAUAAUGCGGCAAUCCCUGCAAAUCCUAUACCAGCUAGAGCAAAGAGGUCUUCAGGACUGCUGAACGAACUCUG
This 269-nucleotide unclassified non-coding RNA is filed under the name Hevea brasiliensis (rubber tree). Lineage: Eukaryota; Viridiplantae; Streptophyta; Magnoliopsida; Malpighiales; Euphorbiaceae. The record is from RNAcentral.